Molecule: RNA transcript, 3889 nt
Organism: Dromaius novaehollandiae (emu)
Lineage: Eukaryota; Metazoa; Chordata; Aves; Casuariiformes; Dromaiidae
Gene: CENPP
Gene name: centromere protein P
Exons: 11
Source: RefSeq, a predicted model, not a curated record
CGCUCUGGCAGUGGCGGUGGCAGCGCCCGGGGCGCCGGCGGCCGUUGGGCGCGCAGUUCGAAGGCGCCGCUCCGCGGGGCGCGAGCGCGGCCGUUGGGUGGACGGGUGCGACCGCUGCCGCCGGGCGACGCGCGGAGCCGUUGGGGCUGCCCGUGCUUGUGGCACCUGCGGGCCUCCGCCGCGGCGUGGGGCGGGUCACAGCUCUUUUCCAGGUGUCCCCUGGUGAGAUUUAAAGCCUAGACGCAAAGCGGGCAGAUGCGAAAAAACCCCCACUAGCUUAUUUCCCACAAAAUCUUGCCUGCUUUUCCCAGCUUGUCUUGGAGAGCGGGCAGCAUAAAAGCAAGCGCCUGAGGUGCGCACGGGAAGUAAUAUUGAUUCUGAGAAAUGGAGGACAGCAUGUAUCAAGUUUAUGAAGAUGAAAUUCAGUCGUUGGAAGAAGAAAUUAAAUUGUUGGCUGAAAAGUAUGAAGACAGCCAACAAGAAUCCACAUUUUUUUCUGAUGAAGAGAUACUAAUGUCAAUCAAGUCAUUCCAAGGAGAAUUUCAGAGAGAGUUGAAGGGACAUGAAUCUCCAUCAGACCUGAAAGUUCAACUUGAAAGUCUAGAAACAGAUCUCUCAUUUUUAAUGAAAUUUACUGGCAUUCGGUUCACAACUCACUCCAAGAAAACUGUGGAAAAAACUGGAAGCAGAACAAUACAGAAGCACAGGUUAUCAGGAAAUUGCCACUCCCUGCCUUUUCAAUUGGAAUUUCAGCUUCUUGAAAUAAAGAACAAAGAGAGCGUGUCUGCUGUUAUUACUGAUCUCAACAUUAUAAUGGAAUCUGGGGAAUAUUCAGGUGUAAGCAAGUUUGUGUCCAGCACUGAAGAACAUGGAAAUCUUUUGGCGUUUUUCAGAAGCCUUUCAUCUUAUGCUGAGUGGUAUGAACAUCGUAGAUGCACCUUCCUACAUUUCAAGGCCAAAUAUCCUGACAUUGUAAAACUUCCUGAAGGACUGCUGGGAGAUUAUAUAGUUUUAAGGAACCCUAAACCUUCUGGGUUUGAAUUAAUGAUUGUUUGGAAGAUACAUGUAGAUGAAGAUGGGAGAAUAACACCUGUUCUGGACCUCCUGACUAAAGUACCAGAGCAAGUCCUGGAGCAGAAGAUAGCAACUACCGAAAAUGCACCUACCUGCUUCCGAAGUAUGCUGCUUUUGUUUGGGAUUGAGACAGCUAUUGAAAAUCUUAUCAGAGUGGUUGGCUUGAAAAACUGAAUACCAGCAUUACUUAAAACAGAUGCCAAAUUGUGACCAAAACACCCAUCUCAUCACCUUAAGAUGGAACACAAACUCCUUGUUCGAGCAACAGAAGAGAUAACCAGAAGUCUGCUCCCUUUAAGGCAGGCCAGGCAAUGCUAAUAAAUUAUGUAUUUUACUACAGUUAAAACAAAUGCCAGAAGCUAAGAUACAAAAUUAUAAACUGGUGGCAAAUACCACCACAAACGACAUAAGCUGGAAAACUCACUUGGAAGUUGGAUAAUUUGGCUGAAUGUUUUGAGAGACCAUCUCAGGCUGAAAGCCUGGUGAGACAAAGGAACCAAAGACCCUGUGCGCCACAGGGUCUACCACCACUUUCAAAGGAAAGGAAAAAAAAGAAGAAGGUAUUAUCACAGCCUUUAGAUGUUUACAGCUACGUCUGCAGGAUUCUAUGGAAUCAGAACAGGGCACCUGAAGUGAACACAUCCCUUAAAGCACGUUAGUCACGCUGAAGCCAUUGCAAAGACAAAAUGACUACUGUAAAUUCAAAUCUGAGUAGUAAACAAACACUUCCUACAUUUCAUGUUAAGUAGCACAAGGCACUGUAGCCGUAAUAGACAAUUCCGAUUCCUGAAAUAGAUGUAAAUAAGUACAUAGCACCAGAAAUAUUUGCUGUAAAAGUAAGACAAGCAGACAUUGCUUCUUCAUCCUACAGCUGAAGUCUAAAUAAUCUGAGAAAUAAAACUAAAACACAGGGGUCUUUUCGGCAACACAGAGAAUCAAGUCACACUUUUUCUUACCCUGAGAAGAGAUCUAACGGACAAUAUUUACUCGGUCGCUUCCAUUUUCCAUUUGCUACCUGUUGAAAAUCAACACCACUGUUAAUCACUUUCUGGAAUAACUGCUCCCAAUUAUUUUAAUAGUCAGGUGCUAGCACUAACAUUUUUCUUCAGAAGUCCCACAACAUUUAAAACUCUUUGAACUUACUAUUCAUGACUACUAGGGGACUUCCUAUUCAUAUUUAAAUUGAGAUCAUUCAGAUUGCAUAAAAUACAUGAAUGGAAAGCAUGGAAAAAGGUCACAUUAAGUUAUAACGAGGUACAUUUAGCUUCUACUUCCAGACCCAUUAUGAUUUCAGGAACAUAAUCAACAUUAUUAGUGUAUAUCAAAAAAAAUCAAAUGAAUUCCAUGGGUGUUACAUGCUCUGGUAAGUUGUGCAAUGCCACCGUGCACUUGGUGAGCUGUACUUAAAAGGAAAUAUGGCACAGAUGUUUACCCAACCAGCUAGCUCCUCAAAGACUAAUAUUGCAUUUGUUUGCUUCCAACUUCCCACAGAACUUCUUCCGUUUCUCACUACACACCCAGCAACUCAGGUGUGUAACCACUCACUCUCUUUAGUCAUAUCAGAGAUUUAAGCAACAAUAUGCAAGUUUCAACAGGAAAGCAAGACUUUAGUAACAAAUAAAACACAAUGCAGUCAAAGGAAAGCAGGCUGACUACAAAAAAAGUUACCUUUAAAUGCUGAUGCAUACAAUAACGACACACCUUGUGCUUUAUCUCCUGCGAAACAUGGCUGGAAAAAGGAAUGAAGCCACACUUUGGCUACAAAAAAAAAAAAAGGAAAUAUAAAUGUAAGGGCACACAAUAUGCAAAUCUUUCCAGUUUCCAGUUAAACUGAAAAAAGAUUAUCAGUGAACAUCCAAUACUCAAAAAGCUUCAUAUUAUCUCAUUGUAUAUUAUUCCCAGUUAUGUUAGAGUCCUCCUUUAAAAAAAAUAAGGAUACACAGCACUGCUGUGGCUUGCAAGAAAGCCUACUAAUACUUGGGAAUUUCCCAAACUUGUAAAGGUUAGCAAUGGCGGGGGGAGAGGGGUGGAUUUCAUCCUACAGGUAACAGUGAAAAUGAUGAGCUCUGCUUUAUCCCAUUGCUGCAUUUAUUUGAAACUGCUUUGGUUAGUCUAUACUUAAAAAUUUCUAAACAAAAAAAACAGAAGGAUCUUCUUCUGUUUGAUACCUUAAUCUCUAUGCAGAGGAUUGGCCGAUGUUCCACAAAACGAUAGGUCUGCAGCCUGGUAAGAUUAGGAAGGCACAUUGCAUAACCACUAAGAGUGUCCAUGUCUUUAUCACAGCGAGACUCUGGAGGGAGAGAAAAAACAAAAAAAGGGUGGGAGGGGAGCAUGUCCAUGUUCAUUUUACUCUGUAGUUAUCUUAUUCUCUAACUGGAAAAGAAAGUCCUAAGAAAGGCAGGACAUAGUUUAAGAAGCUUCACCAAAUGAUUUCCCCCCCCAUUAGCAACACUGGUUUUCAGUUUUCCUCACAGCGCUCUCAAGCAUAUAGAGUGCUUCAAGAGCUGCUUUAAUGGCCACAAUUUCCAGCUCAUCCUAAAAAAGAUAUCAGUGAGAGGUCUGAAACAGCAAAGGAGCGUAUUCAAUGAGUCAAGAAUAGGUAAAGAGAUUUAUUACCAUAUGCAGAGAAGUCAUCUCUUGCUUGCUUACUAAAAUUGCAUGUAGUGACUAUGAUCCAUCAGCCUAGUCACCAGAAGUCCAUGAAAAGGGCCAGAAUAUCAUAAAUUGGUCUCGCAAUAUUGAGAUCUAGAAGUUUAGAAGGAACUGUGAAAAUAAGCAGAAUCUGCAAGUGGCUUAGCUCUAGUCCUUAGUCUGC